Molecule: ribosomal RNA, 254 nt
Filed under: uncultured bacterium
Lineage: Bacteria
Description: partial 16S ribosomal RNA
Rfam family: Bacterial small subunit ribosomal RNA
Source: RNAcentral
GACGGAGGGUGCUAGCGUUGUUCGGAAUCACUGGGCGUAAAGGGCGCGUAGGCGGCCUUGCAAGUCGGUUGGUGAAAGCCCGGGGCUCAACCCCGGAGGUGCGGCCGAGACUGCAGGGCUGGAGGCCGGAAGAGGAGGGUGGAAUACCCAGUGUAGAGGUGAAAUUCGUAGAUAUCGGGAGGAACACCGGUGGCGAAGGCGGCGACCUGGGUCGACACUGACGCUCAGGCACGAAAGCGUGGGGAGCAAAAGGG